UGGCAGGCAAUUAGCAGGAAGGAGCUGACAGAUUAAUUCUCUUUCCCUUUGGGUCAAGCUGGAAAGUAAGGCAACAGCUGUUAUUCUCCCCACCACCCCCUUUCAGGGGGCUAACAAGAAAGAAACAAAUCAAAUUAAGGCUCCCCAUUCAACGGGAGAUGCUGAUUUCUCUUCCCAGCCUUAGCCAUGCUACCCCACUCAGUUACAUGGAGGAGGAAUAUUGCCCAGUGAUUUAGAGUGAAGAGGGAAAGGUACCAUCAUUAUUUCUUCCUUGGAUGAGUCAAACAGAAAAAUGGGGAACUAUGGUUACUGGAAAGUUUGCAUUUGAAGCUGUGGUUUAAAACAUCUCAAUCUAUGCAGGCAUAGAGGAAGUCUUUUAUUCUUUUCAAACGUUUCAGUUACUUAUGAAAGAAAUUGUAUAGUACUUUACUCCUGGCAACAUUCCUGCACUGGAGGCCAACAAUCAAAGGUCACAAAGGAAAACUUUUGGGCAAAGCAUCAGACUGGUGUCAUCAUGAUGAAACAAGAGCGAGAGUUUUCUUUGGACAUAUCACAUAAUCGUUUAGAGGACCUACUUGUACGUCCAACAGUAGCAUCUCUGUAUGUUCAAAGCAUUGCUAAUGUAAUUCAUUUCCUUUUCACAGCGGAUAAAGACAAUUAAAACAUAGUUUGAACUGAGAUACGUUAGUUUUAUCUUGAAUGAUCUGAAAAGAGUUUGUUACAUUGCAUUGAAAAAUAACACCAACUUUACAAAUUUAUUUAUAGCUCUCUAUCUGUAAUUUUUGGUUGGAUUUCAUGUACUGUAGGGAAUAUUUCGUCUAGGAAGCAAACAAACUUCCUGAUCAGUUGAUGGAUUAUUUCUAAAUUGUCUCCGGCCCUGGUGUUACGGUUGCUUGCAAUGAUUUAUAAUGCUUGGCCAUUCUUUUCCCUCCCUUAUGAAUACAUUGUUAAACUAUCCUAUUUGACUCUUCUUUCCUGGUAGCCUUAUUUUUAGGAUUUUGAUUAUCUUGUUUUCAUCUUUUUUAUAUCUAUUGCAAUACUGGAUGCAGGAUAAUCUUGCUUCUCCAAGUGCCAUGGGUGACAGUUAAUACAUUUGUAUAACCCAGGGAAGUUUCAAUGUAAUUAGUAGCUGUCAAGAGACAUCACCCUGAUACUGUUUCAUAAUAAUCGAGUUUCAGUGAGUAAUCUAUUGAUAUAUUUAAUUUUUUCUGCAUUUUGAUUUGCUAACAAUUCCUAAUAAAUAUGUAAAUAUUU
Molecule: long non-coding RNA, 1254 nt
Organism: Chelonia mydas (Green sea turtle)
Lineage: Eukaryota; Metazoa; Chordata; Testudines; Cheloniidae
Exons: 3
Source: RefSeq, a predicted model, not a curated record